Molecule: long non-coding RNA, 1060 nt
Organism: Apis dorsata (giant honeybee)
Lineage: Eukaryota; Metazoa; Arthropoda; Insecta; Hymenoptera; Apidae
Exons: 2
Source: RefSeq, a predicted model, not a curated record
CCAUCGGCCAUCCGAAACCGAAACGGGGAAUCCGCGAAAAGGGAUCCCACGUGCGAGAGAGACGGAGCGACACUGUCCACCGCUCGACGGGCCGUGGAGGAACAGAGACGAGGAACGAGAGAGGAACGAGCGACGCGCAAGUUUCCCGCGCAAAUCGCGCUCCCCUCCUCGCUCGCCUCGGCGGCGAAAUCUCGGCGAAAGCGGAUCAGCCUGGCCAGUUGGACAGUCGCGGCAAACACGAGGUGUCCGACGUCGCCAGUGUACCGAGUGUCCCCGUCACGUGAAUCGGCCAUCGCGCUUCCGGUUCCGGUACGCGUACCGCGCCUCGACCGACUCCACUGAUCGAUCCACCGCGUUCGAUCCGCACUGCACGUCCCUGAGAGGGACAGAGAGAGACAGAGAGAGAGAGAGAGAGAGAGAGAGACGGAUCGCGUGGGAGACGUACCGCUCGCUCUCGCAUCGAUUUUCGCCUCGGAAGAAUUCGAAGAAUCUCGCGGUAUCUCAUCAUCUUCAAAAUUGCAAUGUAUAUUGAAUUCCAACAACUCAGUGAUUUUGUGGAUAUGUGAUUGUGGAAGUGCUAAAUAAUAAGAAACAUAAUAUUCAUAAGAUGAAGUGAAUCUACAGUAGAACAUUCAAAAAUAAGUGUUUCCAUGUUUAAUCAAGAUGUACAUCAUAUAAUUUAUGUGAUUCAUUGAUUAUGUGAUCAGUUUUAGAAGUGUUCUAUGAAUCUUCAAAAGAUAAAUAAUUCAACAGCCAUGUAACUCAAGAAUGGAUUCACUCAAGAAACUCAAGAAACCUCAAGAAUUUUUAGGUUGAAUCCCAACUUGCCUAAAUUAUGUUACUUCCAAAAACUACACAACCACUCUAACUAAUUUUAUACUCAACAUCUCCCUCACUUUACUCACCAUCCGUACUCAUCAAAAAAGUUCAAAUUAACAACUAAAGCAAUAAAAAUCCAGAUCUGUAAUUAGUCCUUUAAAAGUCCAGAUCUGCAAUUGGAUCAUUAGGAGCCCAGAUCUGCAAUUGAAUCACUAAAAGUCUAGAAUUGCAAUUAAUCCUU